RNAcentral lists this ribosomal RNA (256 nucleotides) under uncultured bacterium. RNAcentral describes it as "partial 16S ribosomal RNA". It matches the Rfam family "Bacterial small subunit ribosomal RNA", at positions 793 to 1055 of the family's 1533-position model. The record is from RNAcentral.
GUCCACACUGUAACGUUGAUGACUCGAUGUUGGCGAUACACAGCCAGCGUCCAAGAGCAAUCGUUAAGUCAUCCACCUGGGGAGUACGCCGGCAACGGUGAAACUCAAAGGAAUUGACGGGGUCCGCACAAGCGGUGGAGCAUGUGGUUUAAUUCGAUGAUACGCGAGGAACCUUACCUGGGCUAGAAUGCCCUUGAUGGGUACAGAGAUGUAUCGUUUCGCAAGAACAAGGAGCAAGGUGCUGCAUGGCUGUCGU